This is a long non-coding RNA of Dreissena polymorpha, 259 nucleotides long. RefSeq lists it as uncharacterized. NCBI's taxonomy places the organism in Eukaryota, Metazoa, Mollusca, Bivalvia, Myida, Dreissenidae. The record is from RefSeq and is a predicted model, not a curated record. The transcript is spliced from 3 exons.
UAUAAUAGAUGCAGGGAGAUCACACUUCACUAUUUUGUAAACUAUUCUGUAUCCUCGUGACUUAAGUUAAGGACGUCCGAUUGAUUAUUCAUCAUAACCGAAAAAUUGACCUGCAUCGAGAUUUAGAUGGCAAACUUCACCAUCAUUGGAGGAGAUGAUCCACUUUCCUUGAAGUCAAAAUCAAAAGUUUUAGCACCUGACGAUGGCACCUUCUUUGACAUGCAAAGGCCUAAAAUAUCAGCCAAUCAGUUGCCACCAC